Molecule: non-coding RNA, 667 nt
Organism: Phascolarctos cinereus (koala)
Lineage: Eukaryota; Metazoa; Chordata; Mammalia; Diprotodontia; Phascolarctidae
Source: RefSeq, a predicted model, not a curated record
GUUCAUGACAUCACCCCCUGACAUCGGCCCAGAGGUGUGCUGGAACCUUCUCGUUUGGCCUUGGAAGAGCUCGUGCUUAAUUCAUUCGCUAAGGGUGGAAAGGACAAACUCCUAAGAUGCUGAAUUGGCUGUCGUCACUCAAUAAAGGAAAGCUUCCUUGCUAGGCUGUGGGCUUCCAUCCAUCAUCCUGACAUGCAUGCGGGCUGAUUCAGACCAUUCUCUCAUUGAUAAGACUCAAGUAUGAUCUUCGGAUCAAAGCAGUUCUGCAUCAAGACUGAGCAAUCAACAAACAGCUGAAUGGAACGGGUAAUGACUAUUGUCAGCAGAGGAAUGGAAUAGUGGAUUCGGAGUCAGAGGAGGUGUGUUUGCCUCUAGCCCUGCUACUUUCUACCUGUGCUCUUGGUCAACUCAUUUAAUUCCUCUGAGCCUCAAAUCAUUCACUCAUCUAUGAAUCGAAGGGGUUGAUUCUGGAAAGACAUUUGGAUCUAUACUCUCCAAAUCACAAAGUUAUGUGUAUCCUAUGACCCAGGAAUACUAGACAUAUAUGCUAAAGACAAAACAAAACAACACAUCUGUAAAACACAGAUUUAAAGCAAGACUUUUUGUUGCAGCAAAGACCUGGAAAUAAAAUGGCACCCAGCAACUGGGGAAUGAUUCACUAAAUUAU